Molecule: ribosomal RNA, 446 nt
Filed under: uncultured bacterium
Lineage: Bacteria
Description: partial 16S ribosomal RNA
Rfam family: Bacterial small subunit ribosomal RNA
Source: RNAcentral
CCUACGGGUGGCAGCAGUCGAGAAUCAUUCACAAUGGGGGAAACCCUGAUGGUGCGACGCCGCGUGGGGGAAUGAAGGUCUUCGGAUUGUAAACCCCUGUCAUGUGGGCGCAAAUUAAAAAGAUAGUACCACAAGAGGAAGAGACGGCUAACUCUGUGCCAGCAGCCGCGGUAAUACAGAUGCCUCAAGCGUUGUUCGGAAUCACUGGGCGUAAAGCGUGCGUAGGCUGUUUCGUAAGUCGUGUGUGAAAGGCGAGGGCUCAACCCGCGGACGGCACUUGAUACUGCGAGACUAGAGUAAUGGAGGGGGAACCGGAAUUCUCGGUGUAGCAGUGAAAUGCGUAGAUAUCGAGAGGAACACUCGUGGCGAAGGCGGGUUCCUGGACAUUAACUGACGCUGAGGCACGAAGGCCAGGGGAGCGAAAGGGAUUAGAUACCCUAGUAGUC